Molecule: ribosomal RNA, 379 nt
Filed under: Draconarius sp. CL104
Lineage: Eukaryota; Metazoa; Arthropoda; Arachnida; Araneae; Agelenidae
Description: partial 16S ribosomal RNA
Source: RNAcentral
CUCAAUGAAAUUAAAUAGCCGCAAUAUUUUGUGCUAAGGUAGCAUAAUCAUUUGUCUUAUAAUUAAAGACUAGAACGAACGAUUUAACAUUUUCAUUUCUUUCUAAUAUUUAUCUAUUUAAAUUAUUUUAAAUAUAAAAAAAUAUUUAUAUAUUAAGAAGACGACAAGACCCUAUUGAACUUUACUAAAGUUUUACUGGGGUAGUAUAUUAAAUAUUAUUUUAAUUUAUAAUCAUAUAUUAACCUAAUACAAUUAAAAAUAUCAAGUUACCAUAGGGAUAACAGCGCAAUAAUUUUCUAAAGUUCUUAUUUAAAAAAUUGAUUACGACCUCGAUGUUGAAUUAAUAUUCUACUAAACGCAACAAUUUAGUAAGAAAGUC